UGGGGAAUUUUGGACAAUGGGCGAAAGCCUGAUCCAGCAAUGCCGCGUGUGUGAAGAAGGCCUUCGGGUUGUAAAGCACUUUUGUCCGGAAAGAAAUCCUCUGGGUUAAUACCUCGGGGGGAUGACGGUACCGGAAGAAUAAGCACCGGCUAACUACGUGCCAGCAGCCGCGGUAAUACGUAGGGUGCAAGCGUUAAUCGGAAUUACUGGGCGUAAAGCGUGCGCAGGCGGUUUGCUAAGACCGAUGUGAAAUCCCCGGGCUCAACCUGGGAACUGCAUUGGUGACUGGCAGGCUAGAGUAUGGCAGAGGGGGGUAGAAUUCCACGUGUAGCAGUGAAAGUGCGUAGAGAUGUGGAGGAAUACCGAUGGCGAAGGCAGCCCCCUGGGCCAAUACUGACGCUCAUGCACGAAAGCGUGGGGAGCAAACAGGAUUAGAUACCCUGGUAGUCCACGCCCUAAACGAUGUCAACUAGUUGUUGGGGAUUCAUUUCCUUAGUAACGUAGCUAACGCGUGAAGUUGACCGCCUGGGGAGUACGGUCG
This 541-nucleotide ribosomal RNA is filed under the name uncultured bacterium. RNAcentral's name for it is "partial 16S ribosomal RNA". It matches the Rfam family "Bacterial small subunit ribosomal RNA", at positions 355 to 888 of the family's 1533-position model. The record is from RNAcentral.